RNAcentral lists this unclassified non-coding RNA (343 nucleotides) under soil metagenome. RNAcentral describes it as "partial contains 5.8S ribosomal RNA, internal transcribed spacer 2, and large subunit ribosomal RNA". The stretch from base 1 to 120 matches the Rfam family "5.8S ribosomal RNA", at positions 35 to 154 of the family's 154-position model. The record is from RNAcentral.
GAUGAAGAACGCAGCGAAAUGCGAUAAGUAAUGUGAAUUGCAGAAUUCAGUGACUCAUCGAAUCUUUGAACGCACAUUGCGCCCGCUAGUAUUCUGGCGGGCAUGCCUGUCCGAGCGUCAUUUCAACCCUCAAGCCCCCGGGCUUGGUGUUGGGGAUCGGCGAGCCUCCGCGCCCGCCGUCCCCUAAAUCUAGUGGCGGUCUCGCUGUAGCUUCCUCUGCGUAGUAGCACACCUCGCACUGGGAAACAGCGCGGCCACGCCGUUAAACCCCCAACUUCUGAACGUUUGACCUCGAAUCAGGUAGGAAUACCCGCUGAACUUAAGCAUAUCAAUAAGCGGAGGA